RNAcentral lists this ribosomal RNA (873 nucleotides) under uncultured bacterium. RNAcentral describes it as "bacterial SSU rRNA". It matches the Rfam family "Bacterial small subunit ribosomal RNA", at positions 21 to 884 of the family's 1533-position model. The record is from RNAcentral.
GGCUCAGAGUGAUCGCUGGCGGCGUGCUUAACACAUGCAAGUCGAGCGAAUUUCAGCAGUGUAUCGCUGAAGUUAGCGGCAGACGGGUGAGUAAUACUUGGGCAAUCUGCCCUUGAGAGGGAAACAACCGGCCGAAAGGCUGGCUAAUGUCCCAUAAGACCACAGGAAUGCAUAUUCCAGAGGUCAAAGCUCCGCAAGGGGCGCUUGAGGAGGAGCCCGAGUCCUAUCAGCUAGUUGGUGAGGUAACGGCUCACCAAGGCUUUGACGGGUAGCCGGCCUGAAAGGGUGAUCGGCCACACUGGCACUGAGACACGGGCCAGACUCCUACGGGAGGCAGCAGUGGGGAAUUUUGGACAAUGGGGGCAACCCUGAUCCAGCGACGCCGCGUGAAGGAUGAAGGCCUUCGGGUUGUAAACUUCUUUUAGAGGGGAUGAAUGCCUACGUGAAUAACGUAGGGUGACAGUACUCUUUGAAUAAGCCACGGCUAACUACGUGCCAGCAGCCGCGGUAAUACGUAGGUGGCAAGCGAUACUCGGAAUCACUAGGCGUAAAGCGCAGGUAGGUGGUUUGGUAAGUCUUUUGUGAAAGCUCCCGGCUUAACUGGGAGAGGUCAAAGGAAACUACCAGACUAGAGUUUGGUAGGGGAUACUGGAAUUCCUGGUGUAGCGGUGAAAUGCGUAGAUAUCAGGAGGAAUACCUAUGGCGAAAGCAGGUAUCUGGGCCAUAACUGACACUGAGCUGCGAAAGCUAGGGGAGCAAACAGGAUUAGAUACCCUGGUAGUCCUAGCCCUAAACGAUGUUCAUUAGAUGUGGGAGGUAUCGACCCCUUCCGCGUCGCAGCUAACGCAUUAAAUGAACCGCCUGGGGAGUACG